GCCCUGCGUAGUGCGUGUAGGCAGAAUUUUUAGAACCUACAAGUUUAAAAAGGGACCAAUUCUUUGAGUAUGGCGUGCAAGCUUACACUUUUGCAAAUUUAUAUUUAGCUUUAAGUAGUAAGAAGCCCACAAGUAUUCAAGUAGGACCCACCUGUCGAAGACAGGUCCUUAAAAAUUCCACUAACUUACGGCUAAUGUGGGGAA
RNAcentral lists this non-coding RNA (204 nucleotides) under chicken gut metagenome. RNAcentral describes it as "6S / SsrS RNA". It matches the Rfam family "6S / SsrS RNA". From Rfam's summary of the family: E. coli 6S RNA was the first non coding RNA to be sequenced, but its function was unknown until recently. It consists of 184 nucleotides that fold into an extended hairpin structure with a large single-stranded internal bulge. The 6S RNA specifically associates with RNA polymerase holoenzyme containing the sigma70 specificity factor. The record is from RNAcentral.